Lolium perenne is the source of this 652-nucleotide long non-coding RNA. RefSeq lists it as uncharacterized. Lineage: Eukaryota; Viridiplantae; Streptophyta; Magnoliopsida; Poales; Poaceae. The record is from RefSeq and is a predicted model, not a curated record.
CAAUCCCUAAAAUCAAGGUCGGGAAUCGAAUGCCACGCGUCGGCAUUCAAUUCCCGAUCUCUCUCCCCAGGCCAUAUAUAAUCGAUCUGAUAGCGUCAUCUUGUGCCCCUUGUUCUUAUAUUUCACUUUUCUUCACGAAGUUUCAUCAAAGGAGGUUUGAAUAUCCCGUGCUAUCGACGUCUUGUUUCAUAUUUUGCCAAGUUCAUCGGACUGGACAUGAUGCUGUAUCGUUUCGUCACCGGAGUCCGCACGGCCACCGCCGAUUUGUGGUUGAUUCCGACGAACCCCCAACCUCCGUGAAGAUAUGCGACGCUGGUCAUUGCUCUCUUCGCGUCUGGCCGCUUUUCUGUGAAGAGACCGAGGACACCGAUCUCACCAGCGAGCUCUCCGCGACGAGGAGGUUCGUGUAGACAUCUUCCCCAAGCCUGGAGACACCCGGAGUGACUCCACGGACCAAGCCCGACCGCGGCCACCGUGUCCUUCGUCGACAUCGACCACUGCCACUGUAAGCCACCACGUUAGGUUUAGAUUAGAUUUUAGCAGAUCCGUCGUACACCAUUUGAUCUAAAUCUAAGGGUGCCCAUUAGGCCACGUAACUGAACCAUCCGAACUCGUGUGUAACCGAUCGAUCAGAUCGUGGUUUGUACUAGUU